GACGAACGCUGGCGGCGUGCCUAAUACAUGCAAGUCGAACGCUUCUUUCCUCCCGAGUGCUUGCACUCAAUUGGAAAGAGGAGUGGCGGACGGGUGAGUAACACGUGGGUAACCUACCCAUCAGAGGGGGAUAACACUUGGAAACAGGUGCUAAUACCGCAUAACAGUUUAUGCCGCAUGGCAUAAGAGUGAAAGGCGCUUUCGGGUGUCGCUGAUGGAUGGACCCGCGGUGCAUUAGCUAGUUGGUGAGGUAACGGCUCACCAAGGCCACGAUGCAUAGCCGACCUGAGAGGGUGAUCGGCCACACUGGGACUGAGACACGGCCCAGACUCCUACGGGAGGCAGCAGUAGGGAAUCUUCGGCAAUGGACUAAAGUCUGACCGAGCAACGCCGCGUGAGUGAAGAAGGUUUUCGGAUCGUAAAACUCUGUUGUUAGAGAAGAACAAGGACGUUAGUAACUGAACGUCCCCUGACGGUAUCUAACCAGAAAGCCACGGCUAACUACGUG
This 508-nucleotide ribosomal RNA is filed under the name uncultured bacterium. RNAcentral describes it as "partial 16S ribosomal RNA". It matches the Rfam family "Bacterial small subunit ribosomal RNA", at positions 28 to 507 of the family's 1533-position model. The record is from RNAcentral.